AUGUCCCACGCGCGCACUCCAGGUCCUGUGCGCCGUCCGCACCCAGCUGACGACGAUGCGCUGUGUUCUAUCGGCA
Molecule: small RNA, 76 nt
Filed under: Xanthomonas pisi
Lineage: Bacteria; Pseudomonadati; Pseudomonadota; Gammaproteobacteria; Lysobacterales; Lysobacteraceae
Also listed under: 1 other name
Description: sX9 sRNA
Rfam family: Xanthomonas sRNA sX9
Source: RNAcentral